This 440-nucleotide ribosomal RNA is filed under the name uncultured bacterium. Its description in RNAcentral is "partial 16S ribosomal RNA". It matches the Rfam family "Bacterial small subunit ribosomal RNA", at positions 338 to 795 of the family's 1533-position model. The record is from RNAcentral.
CCUACGUGAGGCAGCAGUGGGGAAUAUUGCACAAUGGGGGAAACCCUGAUGCAGCGACGCCGCGUGAGUGAAGAAGUAUUUCGGUACGUAAAGCUCUAUCAGCAGGGAAGAAAAUGACGGUACCUGUCUAAGAAGCCCCGGCUAACUACGUGCCAGCAGCCGCGGUCAUACGUAGGGGGCAAGCGUUAUCCGGAUUUACUGGGUGUAACGGGAGCGUAGACGGCUGCGCAAGUCUGGAGUGAAAUCCCAGGGCUUAACCAUGGAACUGCUUUGGAAACUGUGCAGCUGGAGUGCAGGAGAGGUAAGCGGAAUUCCUAGUGUAGCGGUGAAAUGCGUAGAUAUUAGGAGGAACACCAGUGGCGAAGGCGGCUUACUGGACUGUAACUGACGUUGAGGCUCGAAAGCGUGGGGAGCAAACAGGAUUAGAUACCCCAGUAGUC